CCGUGCUAGACGGGGAGGUAGCGGUGCCCUGUACCUGCAAUCCGCUAGAGCAGGGUGGAAUCCCUGUCCGAGGUGCCGUCUUGUGGGGUCCGGCCGCGAUAAGCGGUGAGGAAGAUUGGGUCCUGCGCAACGUACAUUCAUGAACCCCGUCAGGCCCGGGAGGGAGCAGCGGUAAGUGGAUCCCUGCGUGUGCCGUAGGGAAGCCUGGUUGGAGCUGGCUGUCGUGGUAUCGCCCGGAAGGCUGUAUCGACGACAGGUGCACGG
This 264-nucleotide signal recognition particle RNA is filed under the name Bacillota bacterium. RNAcentral describes it as "Firmicutes bacterium (anaerobic digester metagenome) signal recognition particle sRNA large type". It matches the Rfam family "Bacterial large signal recognition particle RNA". Rfam says of the family: The signal recognition particle (SRP) is a universally conserved ribonucleoprotein involved in the co-translational targeting of proteins to membranes. Archaeal SRP consists of a 7S RNA and homologues of the eukaryotic SRP19 and SRP54 proteins. Lineage: Bacteria; Bacillati; Bacillota. The record is from RNAcentral.